RNAcentral lists this long non-coding RNA (322 nucleotides) under Capsella rubella. RNAcentral's name for it is "long non-coding RNA (CRUB_LNC001444)". Lineage: Eukaryota; Viridiplantae; Streptophyta; Magnoliopsida; Brassicales; Brassicaceae. The record is from RNAcentral.
GGGAUAUCAAAUGGUUAAAAAAGUUUGGAUAAGCUAGCUAGUCGUCAAUUUUAGGUUAAGUUGUAUAAUGUUUAUAUACAAACAUAAAAUAUCAAAUUUUCAGAUAUUAUUAAUUGAGGGCACUUGCUCUGAUUGAUUUUUUCUUUUUUUUUAAGAAUAGGAAGUUUAAAUUUUCUACUAUAUAGAUUCUUGUAAAAAAGUUACUAUUUUAUUUUAUUUUAAAAAGGGAUAAAUAAAAAAAGAGAAAAGGUCACAUGGGUGAUUAAAAAUAGAGAGACCAUUCACCAAUGACCAAUCUUGAGACGUGAAAAUGUUAGGUAAU